GCGGAUCUCGAAAGCCUGUCCCAGUUCGGACUGGAGUCUGNAACCCGACUCCACGAAGUUGGAUUCGCUAGUAAUCGCGCAUCAGCCAUGGCGCGGUGAAUACGUUCCCGGGCCUUGUACACACCGCCCGUCAAGCCAUGGGAGCCGGGGGCGCCUGAAGUCCGGGACCGCGAGGACCGGCCUAGGGCGAAACUGGUAACUGGGGCUAAGUCGUAACAAGGUAUC
RNAcentral lists this ribosomal RNA (225 nucleotides) under uncultured bacterium. Its description in RNAcentral is "partial 16S ribosomal RNA". It matches the Rfam family "Bacterial small subunit ribosomal RNA", at positions 1267 to 1500 of the family's 1533-position model. The record is from RNAcentral.